Molecule: ribosomal RNA, 306 nt
Filed under: uncultured Pseudomonas sp.
Lineage: Bacteria; Pseudomonadati; Pseudomonadota; Gammaproteobacteria; Pseudomonadales; Pseudomonadaceae
Description: bacterial SSU rRNA
Rfam family: Bacterial small subunit ribosomal RNA
Source: RNAcentral
GGGUUAAGUCCGUAACGAGCGCAACCCUGUCCUAGUUACCAGCACGUUAUGGUGGGCACUCUAAGGAGACUGCCGGUGACAAACCGGAGGAAGGUGGGGAUGACGUCAAGUCAUCAUGGCCCUUACGGCCUCGGGCUACCACACGUGCUACGAAUGGUCGGUACAAAGGGUUGCCAAGCCGCGAGGUGGAGCUAAUCCCAUAAAACCGAUCGUAGUCCGGAUCGCAGUCUGCAACUCGACUGCGUGAAGUCGGAAUCGCUAGUAAUCGUGAAUCAGAAUGUCACGGUGAAUACGUUCCCGGGCCUU